RNAcentral lists this ribosomal RNA (483 nucleotides) under uncultured bacterium. RNAcentral describes it as "partial 16S ribosomal RNA". It matches the Rfam family "Bacterial small subunit ribosomal RNA", at positions 28 to 507 of the family's 1533-position model. The record is from RNAcentral.
GACGAACGCUGGCGGCGUGCUUAACACAUGCAAGUCGAACGCUGAAGCUCAGCUUUUGUUGGGUGGAUGAGUGGCGAACGGGUGAGUAACACGUGAGUAACCUGCCUCCUUCUUUGGGAUAACGCCCGGAAACGGGUGCUAAUACUGGAUAUUCACUGGUCUUCGCAUGGGGGUUGGUGGAAAGGGUUUUUCUGGUGGGGGAUGGGCUCGCGGCCUGUCAGCUUGUUGGUGGGGUGAUGGCCUACCAAGGCUUUGACGGGUAGCCGGCCUGAGAGGGUGACCGGUCACAUUGGGACUGAGAUACGGCCCAGACUCCUACGGGAGGCAGCAGUGGGGAAUAUUGCACAAUGGGCGCAAGCCUGAUGCAGCGACGCCGCGUGAGGGAUGGAGGCCUUCGGGUUGUGAACCUCUUUCGCUCAUGGUCAAGCCGCAACAAUGGUUGUGGUGAGGGUAGUGGGUAAAGAAGCGCCGGCUAACUACGUG